This 403-nucleotide ribosomal RNA is filed under the name Fusobacteriota bacterium. RNAcentral describes it as "Fusobacteria bacterium partial 16S ribosomal RNA". It matches the Rfam family "Bacterial small subunit ribosomal RNA", at positions 355 to 776 of the family's 1533-position model. Lineage: Bacteria; Fusobacteriati; Fusobacteriota. The record is from RNAcentral.
UGGGGAAUAUUGCACAAUGGAGGGAACUCUGAUGCAGCGACGCCGCGUGAGUGAUGAAGGAAUUCGUUUCGUAAAACUCUGUUCUAUGGGAAGAAAAGGACUGUACCAUAGGAGAAAGCUCCGGCUAAAUACGUGCCAGCAGCCGCGGUAUACGUAUGGAGCGAGCGUUGUCCGGAAUUAUUGGGCGUAAAGGGUGCGCAGGCGGCUUUACAAGUUGGAUGUGAAAUAUUGUGGCUCAACCACAAACGUGCAUCCAAAACUGCAAAGCUUGAGUUAAGGAGAGGUAAGUGGAAUUCCUGGUGUAGCGGUGGAAUGCGUAGAUAUCAGGAGGAAUACCGGUGGCGAAGGCGACUUACUGGACUUAAACUGACGCUCAGGCACGAAAGCGUGGGGAGCAAACAGG